Molecule: ribosomal RNA, 482 nt
Filed under: uncultured bacterium
Lineage: Bacteria
Description: partial 16S ribosomal RNA
Rfam family: Bacterial small subunit ribosomal RNA
Source: RNAcentral
AUUGAACGCUGGCGGCAUGCUUUACACAUGCAAGUCGAACGGUAACAGGCCGCAAGGUGCUGACGAGUGGCGAACGGGUGAGUAAUGCAUCGGAACGUGCCCAGUCGUGGGGGAUAACUACUCGAAAGAGUAGCUAAUACCGCAUACGGUCUAUGGAUGAAAGCGGGGGACCGUAAGGCCUCGCGCGAUUGGAGCGGCCGAUGUCAGAUUAGGUAGUUGGUGGGGUAAAGGCUCACCAAGCCAACGAUCUGUAGCUGGUCUGAGAGGACGACCAGCCACACUGGGACUGGGACACGGCCCAGACUCCUACGGGAGGCAGCAGUGGGGAAUUUUGGACAAUGGGCGCAAGCCUGAUCCAGCAAUGCCGCGUGCAGGAAGAAGGCCUUCGGGUUGUAAACUGCUUUUGUACGGAACGAAACGGCUCUGGUUAAUACCCGGGGCUAAUGACGGUACCGUAAGAAUAAGCACCGGCUAACUACGUG